UUGGAUCUAGGGACGCGCCUUGCCGUCCAUCCCUCGCGGAUGGGCGGCGUAAGCGUCGCGCGUGCGUCGGGUCAAACCGGCGGGCGCGCGGCGUUGCGGGCUCGGUCCGCUGGAGGACCAGCGUGUCAACCGGCCCGCCCGUCCCCUCCCUUCUUGGUUCCCGUUCCUGCUAUUGAGUUAGUGGGGACGUACCGUGGCGGCGCCGUUCGCGCGGCGUCGUCGCGGAGGCGGUCGGUCGCCCGGGGUCAAACCCGGUCGCGGUCGGUCGUCUGGGGCCCAGAUCGUUUACCGUGAAAAAAUUAGAGUGUUCAAAGCAGGCAGACCAUUUCUUCUGCCACCGAAUACAUUAGCAUGGGAUAAUGGAAUAGGACCCUGUCCUCCUAUUUUGCGUGUUGGUUUUCGAGGACCGGGUAAUGAUUAAUAGGGAUAGUUGGGGGCAUUAAUAUUUAAUUGUCAGAGGUGAAAUUCUUGGAUUUAUGAAAGAUUGACUUCUGCGAAAGCAUCUGCCAAGGAUGUUUUCAUUAAUCAAGAACGAAAGUUAGGGGAUCGAAGACGAUCAGAUACCGUCGUAGUCUUAACCAUAAACGAUGCCGACCAGCGAUUAGGAGACGUUGAAUACAAAACACCACCGUCGGGUCGGCCGUCCUUGGCCGUCGUGCGCGGCGACGCGCGCGGCGGCGAGGGCGGUGUCUGCCCGACGGCCCGGUGAAUGACUCCCCUAGCAGCUUGUGAGAAAUCAUAAGUCUUUGGGUUCCGGGGGGAGUAUGGUCGCAAGGCUGAAAC
Molecule: ribosomal RNA, 783 nt
Filed under: Acanthamoeba jacobsi
Lineage: Eukaryota; Discosea; Longamoebia; Acanthamoebidae
Description: bacterial SSU rRNA
Rfam family: Eukaryotic small subunit ribosomal RNA
Source: RNAcentral